UGCUACUUCUUAACUGUAAUUUUGCUACUGUUACAAAUUGUAAUGUAAAUAUCUGUGUUUUCUGAUGGUCUUAGGCAAUUCCCGUGAAAGUUUCAUUCAGCCCUCAAGGGGUCGAGACCUAAAGAUCCAUUUCUACAAUCAAGACCCCUGGUUAAGACUGUUUUUCACUUCCAUCUUCAUACUAUGUAGAUCACUAGUUCUAGCCAUGGCAUUUUGAAAACAAGGAGAAAUGCAGUGUUGGACCAGGAGAUGAAGGACCAGUGCCUGCUUUAGUCCUACAGACUAUUGACUCCAGCAGAAAAGAAAGAAAAGCAGACAAGGCAGAAAUACCAUGAAGGACAGCAAAUCCAUACUCUGCUUACUCAAAAGGAGGUCCACAAACCUUCCCCUGGCUAAGAAGUAGGAACAAGUGUGAAGACAUGAAUAAGGGUAUACGGGCAAACACUGGAGCAUGGUCAACCUACCAGAAGCAACACUGUUAAAGAAAACUGGAUUCUAGAUGUGGAACAAGGAUGACUGGACUGCUACUCACAUCACCAGUGAGGCUACCUGUAAAACAGGACCCCAAGAAAGACACGGGGAUCACCCAAUGACGGAGAAAUGGAUGAGAUCUACAUGA
Non-coding RNA from Peromyscus maniculatus bairdii (prairie deer mouse), 619 nucleotides. Lineage: Eukaryota; Metazoa; Chordata; Mammalia; Rodentia; Cricetidae. The record is from RefSeq and is a predicted model, not a curated record.